Molecule: transfer RNA, 88 nt
Filed under: Lachnospiraceae bacterium
Lineage: Bacteria; Bacillati; Bacillota; Clostridia; Lachnospirales; Lachnospiraceae
Description: tRNA-Ser
Rfam family: tRNA
About the family: Transfer RNA (tRNA) molecules are approximately 80 nucleotides in length. Their secondary structure includes four short double-helical elements and three loops (D, anti-codon, and T loops). Further hydrogen bonds mediate the characteristic L-shaped molecular structure. tRNAs have two regions of fundamental functional importance: the anti-codon, which is responsible for specific mRNA codon recognition, and the 3' end, to which the tRNAs corresponding amino acid is attached (by aminoacyl-tRNA synthetases). tRNAs cope with the degeneracy of the genetic code in two manners: having more than one tRNA (with a specific anti-codon) for a particular amino acid; and 'wobble' base-pairing, i.e. permitting non-standard base-pairing at the 3rd anti-codon position.
Source: RNAcentral
GGAGAGUUGUCCGAGCGGUUUAAGGUGCGAAACUCGAAAUUUCGUGUCGGUUUAUACCCGACCUAGGGUUCGAAUCCCUAACUCUCCG